CUGCCCUUGGGUCCGGCAUAACCCCGGGAAACUGGGGAUAAUUCCGGAUAACGCACAUAUGCUGGAAUGCUUUAUGCGUAAAAUGGAUUCGUCUGCCCAAGGAUGGGUCUGCGGCCUAUCAGGUAGUAGUGGGUGUAAUGUACCUACUAGCCUACGACGGGUACGGGUUGUGAGAGCAAGAGCCCGGAGAUGGAUUCUGAGACAUGAAUCCAGGCCCUACGGGGCGCAGCAGGCGCGAAAACUUUACAAUGCGGGAAACCGUGAUAAGGGGACACCGAGUGCCAGCGUCAUACGCUGGCUGUCCGGGUGUGUAAAAUACACCUGUUAGCAAGGGCCGGGCAAGACCGGUGCCAGCCGCCGCGGUAACACCGGCGGCCCGAGUGGUGAUCGUGAUUAUUGGGUCUAAAGGGUCCGUAGCCGGUUUGGUCAGUCCUCCGGGAAAUCUGACAGCUCAACUGUUAGGCUCUCGGAGGAUACUGCCAGACUUGGAACCGGGAGAGGUAAGAGGUACUACAGGGGUAGGAGUGAAAUCUUGUAAUCCCUGUGGGACCACCUGUGGCGAAGGCGUCUUACCAGAACGGGUUCGACGGUGAGGGACGAAAGCUGGGGGCACGAACCGGAUUAGAUACCCGGGUAGUCCCAGCCGUAAACGAUGCUCGCUAGGUGUCAGGCAUGGCGCGACCGUGUCUGGUGCCGCAGGGAAGCCGUGAAGCGAGCCACCUGGAAGUACGGCCGCAAGGCUGAAA
This 746-nucleotide ribosomal RNA is filed under the name uncultured archaeon. RNAcentral's name for it is "bacterial SSU rRNA". It matches the Rfam family "Archaeal small subunit ribosomal RNA", at positions 109 to 854 of the family's 1478-position model. The record is from RNAcentral.